AAAUAUAUAAGGUUGAACAACUUCAUAUCAGUCAGUGCACUGCAACCGCUGAACUAACCACUUGUACAGAACAAUAAAUAGUUAUUCAAAAUGUGUAGAAUAUUGUUGAUGACAAUGGCAAUGGUUGUGCUGGCGUCGGCAGCGCCUGAUCCAGCGGUAUUCUAUGGAGUGAACCCGUACUCCGCUGCCCUGAUAGCCCCUGGCGUACCCUACCCCUAUUCUACCUACUCCACUUACGCUUCAUCCUAUGUCCAGGAUUGGUCAGCAGUAUCAGCGCCCCUAGUGGCCGCUGCGUACCCCGCCGCUUAUACUGCUGAUUGGUUCUACCGUCGGUAGAAUACUUUUAAACCAGGGCAUAUCCAAUGUGUUUUCAGUAAUGGACAGGAUAUAUAUAAUAUUGACACCAGCCAAUCACGGGAUAUUUCGUUAGCUUACGCAAUAUUGUCAGAUAUCUUUAGAGGCCUCUGAACUUUGUCUACGAGCACAAAGCUUGAACGCUAUUAGGGCAAGCGUUUAAGGUUACGCUACCGUUUUACGGACCAUUAUGUAAUCGGUACCUACCGUAAUUUCAUACCGGUAUAAUAAAAGUAGCAUACCCUUUUAUACGUUUUAAACCCAGGCAUAGAGUAAAAUAAAAAAUCUUUGUAUUCUAUUUGAAGAAAGCAUUUUGGCAAGACCUGUGCACUCUGUUCAGAUGACGUGAAAUCCGGGCGCAUGAAUAUUUAAUUUUAUAUUUAUCUUAUGGAUGGAAGUGUGUAUAUAAAAUUACUACUCAGUAGCAUCAUCUGGACACAGGCAUUAUUAAUAUUAUUAUAAAUAAUUAAUAACGAUGAAAUGUAAUAUAAAUAACAUGUACCCAAAGAUAUUUAUUAUUUAAAUUGAGACAUAAAUAAAUCUAAAUUAUUACCCUA
This is a long non-coding RNA of Pectinophora gossypiella (pink bollworm), 911 nucleotides long. RefSeq lists it as uncharacterized. The transcript is spliced from 2 exons. The record is from RefSeq and is a predicted model, not a curated record. NCBI's taxonomy places the organism in Eukaryota, Metazoa, Arthropoda, Insecta, Lepidoptera, Gelechiidae.